Molecule: non-coding RNA, 540 nt
Organism: Hydra vulgaris (swiftwater hydra)
Lineage: Eukaryota; Metazoa; Cnidaria; Hydrozoa; Anthoathecata; Hydridae
Source: RefSeq, a predicted model, not a curated record
UUUCAAUGAAAUGCAUAAACCAAAGUCUAACUAAUACAGAUUUACGCUGCUCAAAAUUAAAUGUCAUGGAGAUAAUGAGCCACUACCAUGCUUAUGCAAGAGAAAACAUAAUAACCAACAGUAUAGUAAGCAAGUACCUACUCCUGUAUUGCAAAAAAAGAAACAGAAAACAAUUUUUAUGCAUACUCCACAUACUGUAGCUCAAGCCUUCUACAAAUGGUCCAGUCUGACACAACAAUUACAGCUUCGUGGAUAAGCUUAGUGGUUUUUUUUCUGUUUUCCAGGCAGAUAUUUCUGAUUAUACUGUCCGCUUUCGGUGUUUUCUUGCGUUUAAAAGGUGGUCUUCUUGGACCAAACUCUUCCUCUGUAUCAAUUCUUUUUCUUACUUGCAUUACGGUUUGGUAAGAAACCUUUGCGGUUUGUGCAAUUUUUCAUUGAGAAUAAUUUGUAUUUUGUAAAAGACAUGUUUAUCAAUUUUUAAUGUAACUGUAAUAAUAAUAACAAUGUAUAAUGCAGGUUGUUGACCAAUGGUUUAUAAUC